Molecule: ribosomal RNA, 497 nt
Filed under: uncultured bacterium
Lineage: Bacteria
Description: partial 16S ribosomal RNA
Rfam family: Bacterial small subunit ribosomal RNA
Source: RNAcentral
GAUGAACGCUGGCGGCGUGCCUAAUACAUGCAAGUCGAGCGAACGGACGAGAAGCUUGCUUCUCUGAUGUUAGCGGCGGACGGGUGAGUAACACGUGGAUAACCUACCUAUAAGACUGGGAUAACUUCGGGAAACCGGAGCUAAUACCGGAUAAUAUUUUGCACCGCAUGGUUCAAAAGUGAAAGACGGUCUUGCUGUCACUUAUAGAUGGAUCCGCGCUGCAUUAGCUAGUUGGUAAGGUAACGGCUUACCAAGGCAACGAUGCAUAGCCGACCUGAGAGGGUGAUCGGCCACACUGGAACUGAGACACGGUCCAGACUCCUACGGGAGGCAGCAGUAUGGAAUCUUCCGCAAUGGGCGAAAGCCUGACGGAGCAACGCCGCGUGAGUGAUGAAGGUCUUCGGAUCGUAAAACUCUGUUAUUAGGGAAGAACAUAUGUGUAAGUAACUGUGCACAUCUUGACGGUACCUAAUCAGAAAGCCACGGCUAACUACGUG